GGUUCCGUAUAUCUAAAGAUGAUGCAGGAGCCAGAACUAGGGGCUGGAUAAUGGAGAAGCUUGCAUGCUAAACUUAUUACGAACUUUAUUUUGAAAGUAGUGGAACGUUAUUGGACCACUUCAAAAGCGGAGUGUUACGUUCAGGCUUGAAUUUUAGAAAUAUCUGUCUGGUAGCCAUGUGCAGGUUGGUUGGAAAGGGAGGCAUCAGACAGGAGACGAAUGAGAAAGCUGUUGCAGUCAUCUGGCCUUGCUCAUCCCUUACUUAGGCUACAUUUUCAAAAGUCAGAAAAAACUUUUUCCUGAAGAAGGGGUUUCUGAGACAAGGACCCCUAUUUGUGACCAAUUGUAAGAUCAUCUGAAGAUCGAGUCCGAUUGCCUGGCCAGGCCGGGCUGGGUGGUAUGUGCCCCCGUCACGCCGGAGGUUCCUGCUUUAGCGACGCCAAAGAUUGGGUGUGAGGGCAGCCCGCGGUGACAGAGACACGGAUCGGACCGAGAGAAAAAGGCUGUGGGCUUCACUGAGCAGAGUGACGGAAGUAUUCAGGCCCUCAGGAGCGGUAACUAAAAUGGAGAAGCUGCGCUGAAAGGUGCCGUGGGCAAGUCAAAAUUAAAAGUCAAUUCACAGGACCUCCACAGUGUGCCUUUUGCUGGGUAGGAAAAUGCCAGCCAGCUUGGAAAACAAGAAGACACAUUUAUGUCUACCAUGAGCAUUGGCAUCAGCCAAUUAUCCCACACGUUUUCGGCUAGUCAGUGCUGAAGAGAGCAAGGAAUUUCAACCCUUCUUGCUACAUUCAAGACAUAGAAAUCCAGCCAGAAGACAACUCGAGAUAUUUUGUGGAUCUAUGCCUUUCCUUCAGAAAAGCAAAUAUCUACCAUAAAAAAACACUGGUCCAAUAUUCACUUCUAUAAGAAAUGCAGGGGCAAAUAAAUUAUGGAUUUUAUUAUCGCUAAUAGAGUCACUUAACCAUUACUCCUUACUACAUUCUGCUUUUCUAACAAAAUUUCGACUGAAUAUUCUCCCUCAGAGCCUCCAAAAGGAACCAACUGAUGACAACUGAUUUUGGACUUCUGGCCUCCUGAACUAUAACAAAAUAAACAUCUGUUGUUUUAAGCAAGC
RNAcentral lists this long non-coding RNA (1114 nucleotides) under Homo sapiens (human). Its description in RNAcentral is "non-protein coding lnc-NDC80-1:3". The record is from RNAcentral. Lineage: Eukaryota; Metazoa; Chordata; Mammalia; Primates; Hominidae.